GGGAUAGAAUUCCAGGAGUAGCGGUGAAAUGCGUAGAUAUCUGGAGGAAUACCAAAGGCGAAGGCAGUCCCCUGGUCCGAUACUGACACUGAGGUACGAAAGCGUGGGGAGCAAACAGGAUUAGAUACCCUGGUAGUCCACGCCCUAAACGAUGUCGAUUAGCCAUUGGAAGGACCCCUUUUCCUUUCAGUGACGUAGCUAACGCGUUAAAUCGACCGCCUGGGAAGUACGACCGCAAGGUUAAAACUCAAAGGAAUUGACGGGGACCUGAACAAGCGGUGAAUGAUGUGGAUUAAUUCGAUGCUACGCGAAGAACCUUACCUACCUUUGACAUGGCCAAAGUUCUACCGAGAGGCGGAAGUACUCGUAAGAGGAUUGGCGCACAGGUGCUGCAUGGUUGUCGUCAGUUCGUGUCGUGAGAUGUUGGGUUCAGUCCCGCAACGAACGCAACCCUUAUCUUUAAUUGCUCCUAUUUUAACAGGCACUUUAAAGAAACUGCCAAUGAUAAGUUGGAGGAAGGUGGGGAUCACGUCAAGUCCGCAUGGCCUUUAUAGGUAGGGCUUCACACGUCAUACAAUGGUUAGAACAAAGAGCUGCAAAUUCGUAAGAAGGAGCCAAUCUCACAAACCUAGCCUCAGUUCGAAUUGCGGUCUGCAACUCGAGCGCAUGAAGCCGGAAUCGCUAGUAAUCGUGGAUCAGAAUGCCACGGUGAAUACGUUCUUAGGUCUU
This 729-nucleotide ribosomal RNA is filed under the name Candidatus Tremblayella phenacoccinincola. RNAcentral describes it as "bacterial SSU rRNA". It matches the Rfam family "Bacterial small subunit ribosomal RNA", at positions 658 to 1382 of the family's 1533-position model. Lineage: Bacteria; Pseudomonadati; Pseudomonadota; Betaproteobacteria. The record is from RNAcentral.